RNAcentral lists this transfer RNA (64 nucleotides) under Micadina brachyptera. RNAcentral's name for it is "tRNA-Thr". Lineage: Eukaryota; Metazoa; Arthropoda; Insecta; Phasmatodea; Lonchodidae. The record is from RNAcentral.
GUUUUAAUAAUUUAAAUAAAAUAUUGGUCUUGUAAAUCAACAAUGAAUAUCAAUUCUUAAAACU